Non-coding RNA from Pseudonaja textilis, 340 nucleotides. The record is from RefSeq and is a predicted model, not a curated record. Lineage: Eukaryota; Metazoa; Chordata; Lepidosauria; Squamata; Elapidae.
AAUUCCAUUUGGAGAAAAGCAAGGUUUUACACCUAGGCAGGAAGAACCAAAGGUACAAAUACGGAUUAGGCGAAUCCUGGCUCAAAAAACAGUAACUGUGAGAGGGACUUUGGAGUCCUAGUGGAUGACCACUUGAACAUGAGCCAGUGGUGUGUGGCAGCAGCCAAAAAAGCUAAUACAAUCCUUGGUUGCAUUAAACCAGAGGCAUAAAAUCAAUAUCCUAUAGGAAAUAUUAGUACUGCUUUAUAAAGCCUUAAUAAGACCACACCUGGAAUACUGUGUCCAGUUUUGGUCGUCACAUUACAAAAAAGAUGUUGAGAUUUUGGGAAAAGUGUAAAGA